Molecule: signal recognition particle RNA, 281 nt
Filed under: Catagonus wagneri (Chacoan peccary)
Lineage: Eukaryota; Metazoa; Chordata; Mammalia; Artiodactyla; Tayassuidae
Description: Metazoan signal recognition particle RNA (ENSCWAG00000004454.1)
Rfam family: Metazoan signal recognition particle RNA
About the family: The signal recognition particle (SRP) is a universally conserved ribonucleoprotein. It is involved in the co-translational targeting of proteins to membranes.
Source: Rfam by way of RNAcentral
GCCUGUAGUCCCAGCUACUCGGGAGGCUGAGGCUGGAGGAUCGCUUGAGCCCAGGAGUUCUGGGCUGCAGUGCGCUAUGCCGAUCGGGUGUCCGCACUAAGUUCGGCAUCAAUAUGGUGACCCUCCGGGAGCGGGGGACCACCAGGUUGCCUAAGGAGGGGUGAACCGGCCCAGGUCGGAAACGGAGCAGGUCAAAGCUCCCGUGCUGAUCAGUAGUGGGAUCGCGCCUGUGAAUAGCCACUGCACUCCAGCCUGGGCAACAUAGCGAGACCCCGUCUCUU